GACAGAGGGUGCAAACGUUGUUCGGAAUUACUGGGCGUAAAGCGCGUGUAGGCGGCUACGUAAGUCGGACGUGAAAUCCCAUGGCUCAACCGUGGAAGAGCGCUCGAAACUGUGUAGCUUGAGUCCUGGAGAGGAAAGCGGAAUACUUGGUGUAGAGGUGAAAUUCGUAGAUAUCAGGUAGAACACCAGUGGCGAAGGCGGCUUUCUGGACAGUGACUGACGCUGAGACGCGAAAGCGUGGGGAGCAAACAGG
RNAcentral lists this ribosomal RNA (253 nucleotides) under uncultured bacterium. Its description in RNAcentral is "partial 16S ribosomal RNA". It matches the Rfam family "Bacterial small subunit ribosomal RNA", at positions 524 to 776 of the family's 1533-position model. The record is from RNAcentral.